Molecule: ribosomal RNA, 477 nt
Filed under: uncultured bacterium
Lineage: Bacteria
Description: bacterial SSU rRNA
Rfam family: Bacterial small subunit ribosomal RNA
Source: RNAcentral
GAUUAUGGCUCAGGAUGAACGCUGGCGGCGUGCCUAACACAUGCAAGUCGAGCGAUUCUCUUCGGAGAAGAGCGGCGGACGGGUGAGUAACGCGUGGGUAACCUGCCUCAUACACAUGGAUAACAUACCGAAAGGUAUGCUAAUACAGGAUAAUAUAAGAGAUUCACAUGGAUUUCUUAUCAAAGCUCCGGCGGUAUGAGAUGGACCCGCGUCUGAUUAGCUAGUUGGUAAGGUAACGGCUUACCAAGGCGACGAUCAGUAGCCGACCUGAGAGGGUGAUCGGCCACAUUGGAACUGAGACACGGUCCAAACUCCUACGGGAGGCAGCAGUGUGGAAUAUUGCACAAUGGGCGAAAGCCUGAUGCAAGCAACGCCGCGUGAGUGAUGAAGGCCUUCGGGUCGUAAAACUCUGUCCUCAAGGAAGAUAAUGACGGUACUUGAGGAGGAAGCCCCGGCUAACUACGUGCCAGCAGCAGC